ACCAUCUCACUCCCUUUCAGAUUCCUCUGGUUCUUCAGGUGUAGAGCGAGAAAGUCUGCAGUACAGAGGAUUAAGCUGUGGGAGAACAUGAUCAGGGCUUCUUCAGCCUCUCUCUUCACAAGAAGAAUUUGAGGCAUUUCAUCUAACUGCGCAUGCCCACUCUCCCUGGAUCCCCAGAACCUUCCAUGGUGCCUUGGGCAUACACUAGGGGGAUGAAAAACAACCUGCUGCUUCAACCGACCAACUGGCUAGCAAUGGCUUGAGCCUUUCCCUGACAAAGGAUUUUUAUAGGAAAACUGCGGCACAGGCCUUCCUUACAAUAUGCACAUUGGUAAACUCAUGGGCACCGAAAGAUAGUUCCAGGAAGGAAAACUUGGCUUCUGACUUUAUUACCGACAAUACAUUGUACAAGUUUUUCUGCAUCAAAGUAGUUCAUGCUAAAAAGGAGAAGCCGGUUUGUUUGACCCCCCCCCCAGACUUGUAAGAAUAAUUCACCUAAAAAAGAACCCAUUUCUCUAAUUUUAAAGAAAAUAUACUUUUUACACAAGACAACCCAAACUGAUGCAAAAUAUUUAUUCCAAGUUAGUUAUUUUAUGCAGUAGUUUCCCCCUUCAACAGACUUGUGAUAACCACAUCUUUUAAAUCUGUAAAUAAUGUUAUCAAAAUAAUCUUAAUCUUUGAAAUCUCACAAAAAUUUAUAUUUUACAAUCCACCCUGAAUAUCAAGGCUGCAAGAAUAACACAACAUUUCCUAUAUCCAAAUAUUUUACAGCUGUACCCAAAAAAGAAAA
Long non-coding RNA from Tupaia belangeri chinensis (Chinese tree shrew), 790 nucleotides. RefSeq lists it as uncharacterized. The record is from RefSeq and is a predicted model, not a curated record. Lineage: Eukaryota; Metazoa; Chordata; Mammalia; Scandentia; Tupaiidae. The transcript is spliced from 3 exons.